This 76-nucleotide transfer RNA is filed under the name Candidozyma haemuli. Its description in RNAcentral is "tRNA CXQ85_000685". It matches the Rfam family "tRNA". From Rfam's summary of the family: Transfer RNA (tRNA) molecules are approximately 80 nucleotides in length. Their secondary structure includes four short double-helical elements and three loops (D, anti-codon, and T loops). The record is from RNAcentral. Lineage: Eukaryota; Fungi; Ascomycota; Pichiomycetes; Serinales; Metschnikowiaceae. RNAcentral also lists the same sequence under 2 other names.
GCCUGCGUGGCGUAAUGGUUAGCGCAUUUGACUUCUAAUCAAAAGAUUCCGGGUUCGAGUCCCGGCGUGGGUUCUA